UAAUGCCUAGGAAUCUGCCUGGUAGUGGGGGACAACGUUUCGAAAGGAACGCUAAUACCGCAUACGUCCUACGGGAGAAAGCAGGGGACCUUCGGGCCUUGCGCUAUCAGAUGAGCCUAGGUCGGAUUAGCUAGUUGGUGAGGUAAUGGCUCACCAAGGCGACGAUCCGUAACUGGUCUGAGAGGAUGAUCAGUCACACUGGAACUGAGACACGGKCCAGACUCCUACGGGAGGCAGCAGUGGGGAAUAUUGGACAAUGGGCGAAAGCCUGAUCCAGCCAUGCCGCGUGUGUGAAGAAGGUCUUCGGAUUGUAAAGCACUUUAAGUUGGGAGGAAGGGCAGUAAGUUAAUACCUUGCUGUUUUGACGUUACCGACAGAAUAAGCACCGGCUAACUCUGUGCCAGCAGCCGCGGUAAUACAGAGGGUGCAAGCGUUAAUCGGAAUUACUGGGCGUAAAGCGCGCGUAGGUGGUUCGUUAAGUUGGAUGUGAAAGCCCCGGGCUCAACCUGGGAACUGCAUCCAAAACUGGCGAGCUAGAGUACGGUAGAGGGUGGUGGAAUUUCCUGUGUAGCGGUGAAAUGCGUAGAUAUAGGAAGGAACASCAGUGGCGAAGGCGACCACCUGGACUGAUACUGACACUGAGGUGCGAAAGCGU
This 655-nucleotide ribosomal RNA is filed under the name Pseudomonas putida. Its description in RNAcentral is "bacterial SSU rRNA". It matches the Rfam family "Bacterial small subunit ribosomal RNA", at positions 111 to 762 of the family's 1533-position model. The record is from RNAcentral. Lineage: Bacteria; Pseudomonadati; Pseudomonadota; Gammaproteobacteria; Pseudomonadales; Pseudomonadaceae.